RNAcentral lists this long non-coding RNA (409 nucleotides) under Junco hyemalis (dark-eyed junco). Its description in RNAcentral is "lncRNA (ENSJHYG00000014849.1)". The record is from RNAcentral. Lineage: Eukaryota; Metazoa; Chordata; Aves; Passeriformes; Passerellidae.
CCAUGGAUAUUCCACGCCCUGGGGGUGCAGUUUGCGGGUCUUUGCUCCCACCCCGAGAUUCCCGGAGGAAUUCGGAUCCUCGGGGCGGGAUCAGGGAAGCGGCGCUGCCUGGGCUGUGCUCGGGGGCGGGAUCAGCGCCGGAGCGGGGCGGGAAGAGGAAGGGAAACUCCUGGGGGAGGGACCGAGAGCUCGGGAGGGCUCCUCGGGAGGGAUCCGCUCCCGCUGGGUAUUGGUGUGGAACGAGACCGGGCGGAUCCCGCAGCUCCCGGCGCCCUCGGCCAGGAUGUUCCACCCGUCGGGCUGCAGGAGGAGCUUCCCCAGGGAGCCUGCUCCGUGGUGGGAUGGACCGUGGCCGUGUCCCCCUGAUGGCCCUCAGGACGCCUGGGACAAGCCACCAUGGGAUGAACCA